This is a long non-coding RNA of Dermacentor albipictus, 397 nucleotides long. RefSeq lists it as uncharacterized. The record is from RefSeq and is a predicted model, not a curated record. NCBI's taxonomy places the organism in Eukaryota, Metazoa, Arthropoda, Arachnida, Ixodida, Ixodidae.
AAGAAAUCAGAGGUGGCACAUGACCUUGAAACACCGGCAGGGCGUUCCAAGGUUGAAGAACUCUGGACGCGAAGCAUACGCCAUUACGGAUUUCUUUCCAUCGAGCACGCGGGACAAAACGACGAUCAAGAUUUCCGCGAUAUCAUCCACGUUCUGGCGAGCCUUCACGCCUUGCUGCAAAUGCAACGAAGUCACGCGGCGGAGGCAUCUUAUUUGGCCAUAGGCCUUUUCCUGGAAGACACAGACAUCAAGGGUGCUCUAGACACCAUGAGGCAAGUAUACAUGCCGGAUUUGAUUAUUGCUCAUGGCCACAUCGGAUACGAUGACCGGCAGUUCGGGACAGACUGCAAGAUGAUGUACCCGACGCCAUACAACUCUGAUGGGCGAUAUCGAGAAA